ACGCUCGACACCUACGGGGGCAGCAGUAGGGAAUCUUCCACAAUGGACGCAAGUCUGAUGGAGCAACGCCGCGUGAGUGAAGAAGGUCUUCGGAUCGUAAAACUCUGUUGUUAGAGAAGAACACGAGUGAGAGUAACUGUUCAUUCGAUGACGGUAUCUAACCAGCAAGUCACGGCUAACUACGUGCCGGUAGCCGCGGUAAUCUGAGCGGGCUGGCAAGGC
Molecule: ribosomal RNA, 222 nt
Filed under: uncultured bacterium
Lineage: Bacteria
Description: partial 16S ribosomal RNA
Rfam family: Bacterial small subunit ribosomal RNA
Source: RNAcentral